ACGCUCGACACCUCGGGAGCAGCAGUGGGGAAUAUUGCACAAUGGGGGAAACCCUGAUGCAGCGACGCCGCGUGGAGGAAGAAGGUCUUCGGAUUGUAAACUCCUGUUGUUGGGGAAAAAGAGGAUGGUACCCAACAAGGAAGUGACGGCUAACUACGUGCCAGCAGCCACGGUAAUCUGAGCGGGCUGGCAAGGC
This 196-nucleotide ribosomal RNA is filed under the name uncultured bacterium. RNAcentral describes it as "partial 16S ribosomal RNA". It matches the Rfam family "Bacterial small subunit ribosomal RNA", at positions 326 to 539 of the family's 1533-position model. The record is from RNAcentral.